This 253-nucleotide ribosomal RNA is filed under the name uncultured bacterium. RNAcentral's name for it is "partial 16S ribosomal RNA". It matches the Rfam family "Bacterial small subunit ribosomal RNA", at positions 524 to 776 of the family's 1533-position model. The record is from RNAcentral.
UACGGGGGGUGCGAGCGUUGUCCGGAAUCACUGGGCGUAAAGGGCGCGUAGGUGGUUUGAUAAGGGUGUGGUGAAAGUCCGGAGCUCAACUCCGGAUCUGCCGUGCCGACUGUCAAACUCGAGGGCUGUAGAGGCAGACGGAAUUCCGGGUGUAGCGGUGGAAUGCGUAGAGAUCCGGAGGAAGACCGGUGGCGAAGGCGGUCUGGUGGGCAGUUUCUGACACUGAGGCGCGACAGCGUGGGGAGCAAACAGG